This 253-nucleotide ribosomal RNA is filed under the name uncultured bacterium. RNAcentral's name for it is "partial 16S ribosomal RNA". It matches the Rfam family "Bacterial small subunit ribosomal RNA", at positions 524 to 776 of the family's 1533-position model. The record is from RNAcentral.
UACGUAGGGGGCUAGCGUUGUCCGGAAUCAUUGGGCGUAAAGCGCGUGUAGGCGGCCCGGUAAGUCCGCUGUGAAAGUCGGGGGCUCAACCCUCGGAUGCCGGUGGAUACUGUCGGGCUCGAGUACGGAAGAGGCGAGUGGAAUUCCUGGUGUAGCGGUGAAAUGCGCAGAUAUCAGGAGGAACACCAAUUGCGAAGGCAGCUCGCUGGGACGUAACUGACGCUGAGACGCGAAAGCGUGGGGAGCGAUCCGG